UAGCUUAAUCAGUUAUUCACUCUAUUGC
RNAcentral lists this small RNA (28 nucleotides) under Bombyx mori (domestic silkworm). RNAcentral's name for it is "ovarian small RNA-22561". The record is from RNAcentral. Lineage: Eukaryota; Metazoa; Arthropoda; Insecta; Lepidoptera; Bombycidae.